AGAGGCAUAGCUCAGAGGGAGAGCGCAUGCUUAUUUAGCAUGCAUGAAGUCCUGGGUUCAAUCCCCAGUACCUCCA
RNAcentral lists this transfer RNA (76 nucleotides) under Camelus bactrianus (Bactrian camel). It matches the Rfam family "tRNA". From Rfam's summary of the family: Transfer RNA (tRNA) molecules are approximately 80 nucleotides in length. Their secondary structure includes four short double-helical elements and three loops (D, anti-codon, and T loops). The record is from Rfam by way of RNAcentral. Lineage: Eukaryota; Metazoa; Chordata; Mammalia; Artiodactyla; Camelidae. RNAcentral also lists the same sequence under 2 other names.